RNAcentral lists this ribosomal RNA (460 nucleotides) under uncultured bacterium. RNAcentral's name for it is "partial 16S ribosomal RNA". It matches the Rfam family "Bacterial small subunit ribosomal RNA", at positions 338 to 795 of the family's 1533-position model. The record is from RNAcentral.
CCUACGGGAGGCUGCAGUGAGGAAUAUUGGUCAAUGGGCGCUAGCCUGAACCAGCCAAGUAGCGUGCAGGAUGACUGCCCUAUGGGUUGUAAACUUCUUUUAUAUGGUGAUAAAGUGCAGUAUGUAUACUGCUUUGCAUGUACCUUAUGAAUAAGGAUCGGCUAACUCCGUGCCAGCAGCCGCGGUAAUACGGAGGAUCCGAGCGUUAUCCGGAUUUAUUGGGUUUAAAGGGUGCGUAGGCGGGUUGUUAAGUUAAUUGUGAAAUUUUGCGGCUCAACCGUAAAAUUGCAUUUGAUACUGGCAGCCUUGAGCACAGUAGAGGUAGGCGGAAUGCGUGGUGUAGCGGUGAAAUGCAUAGAUAUCACGAAGAACUCCGAUUGCGAAGGCAGCCUGCUGGACUGUAACUGACGCUGAUGCUCGAAAGUGUGGGUAUCAAACAGGAUUAGAUACCCCUGUAGUC